AUUGAACGCUGGCGGCAUGCUUUACACAUGCAAGUCGAACGGUAACAGGCCGCAAGGUGCUGACGAGAGGCGAACGGGUGAGUAAUGCAUCGGAACGUGCCCAGUCGUGGGGGAUAACGCAGCGAAAGCUGCGCUAAUACCGCAUACGAUCUAUGGAUGAAAGCGGGGGACCGUAAGGCCUCGCGCGAUUGGAGCGGCCGAUGUCAGAUUAGGUAGUUGGUGGGGUAAAGGCUCACCAAGCCAACGAUCUGUAGCUGGUCUGAGAGGACGACCAGCAAAACUGGGACUGGGACACGGCCCAGACUCCUACGGGAGGCAGCAGUGGGGAAUUUUGGACAAUGGGCGCAAGCCUGAUCCAGCAAUGCCGCGUGCAGGAAGGAGGCCUUCGGGUUGUAAACUGCUUUUGUACGGAACGAAACGGCUCUGGUUAAUACCUGGGGCUAAUGACGGUACCGUAAGAAUAAGCACCGGCUAACUACGUGCCAGCCGCCGCGGUAA
This 498-nucleotide ribosomal RNA is filed under the name uncultured bacterium. RNAcentral describes it as "partial 16S ribosomal RNA". It matches the Rfam family "Bacterial small subunit ribosomal RNA", at positions 29 to 523 of the family's 1533-position model. The record is from RNAcentral.